CCUACGGGCGGCUGCAGUGAGGAAUAUUGGUCAAUGGACGAGAGUCUGAACCAGCCAAGUAGCGUGAAGGAUGACUGCCCUAUGGGUUGUAAACUUCUUUUAUAUGGGAAUAAAAUGUUCCACGUGUGGGAUUUUGUAUGUACCAUAUGAAUAAGGAUCGGCUAACUCCGUGCCAGCAGCCGCGGUAAUACGGAGGAUCCGAGCGUUAUCCGGAUUUAUUGGGUUUAAAGGGAGCGUAGGUGGAUUGUUAAGUCAGUUGUGAAAGUUUGCGGCUCAACCGUAAAAGUGCAGUUGAAACUGGCAGUCUUGAGUACAGUAGAGGUGGGCGGAAUUCGUGGUGUAGCGGUGAAAUGCUUAGAUAUCACGAAGAACUCCGAUUGCGAAGGCAGUUCACUGGACUGCAACUGACACUGAGGCUCGAAAGUGUGGGUAUCAAACAGGAUUAGAUACCCUAGUAGUC
This 460-nucleotide ribosomal RNA is filed under the name uncultured bacterium. RNAcentral's name for it is "partial 16S ribosomal RNA". It matches the Rfam family "Bacterial small subunit ribosomal RNA", at positions 338 to 795 of the family's 1533-position model. The record is from RNAcentral.